CUCUAGGCCCGGGGGCUGCGGAAUGCUGCUACCCGUUCGGAAGGCCAGUUUGGCGUUGUUGUCGCGUCGUCAGCGGCGUUCUACGGUGCGUAGACGGCUUCGUUUUCCAAGGCAGAAGCAUCUUCAACUGCCACUGGAUGGCACCAGGUGCUUCGAAGGCGUCAGCUUCCUCUCUGCUAUGGAGCUGAUGUACGCCACAUACUGUUAUCUCAACCUAAAGUACCCUGGUGAGCUGCCAGCAGCGUUGAAGUUCGUUUAGAGGCAACUUGUGGCAAUGAACCCACAGGAGGGCCCCGGCAGUCUUGAAGAAAAGUUGCUCUGGUGCGUCUGAAGGCGCAGGGAGCC
Molecule: long non-coding RNA, 345 nt
Organism: Ixodes scapularis (black-legged tick)
Lineage: Eukaryota; Metazoa; Arthropoda; Arachnida; Ixodida; Ixodidae
Exons: 3
Source: RefSeq, a predicted model, not a curated record